This 52-nucleotide small nucleolar RNA is filed under the name Echinops telfairi (small Madagascar hedgehog). Its description in RNAcentral is "Small nucleolar RNA MBII-202 (ENSETEG00000026798.1)". Lineage: Eukaryota; Metazoa; Chordata; Mammalia; Afrosoricida; Tenrecidae. The record is from RNAcentral.
UGCUUUGAAGAAAGCUUCUUUGAACCCUUUUCCUUCUGAUGACUAAGAAGGG